This 83-nucleotide transfer RNA is filed under the name Tannerella sp. RNAcentral's name for it is "tRNA-Leu". It matches the Rfam family "tRNA". From Rfam's summary of the family: Transfer RNA (tRNA) molecules are approximately 80 nucleotides in length. Their secondary structure includes four short double-helical elements and three loops (D, anti-codon, and T loops). Further hydrogen bonds mediate the characteristic L-shaped molecular structure. tRNAs have two regions of fundamental functional importance: the anti-codon, which is responsible for specific mRNA codon recognition, and the 3' end, to which the tRNAs corresponding amino acid is attached (by aminoacyl-tRNA synthetases). tRNAs cope with the degeneracy of the genetic code in two manners: having more than one tRNA (with a specific anti-codon) for a particular amino acid; and 'wobble' base-pairing, i.e. permitting non-standard base-pairing at the 3rd anti-codon position. The record is from RNAcentral. Lineage: Bacteria; Pseudomonadati; Bacteroidota; Bacteroidia; Bacteroidales; Tannerellaceae.
GCCCAGGUGGCGAAAUUGGUAGACGCGCUCGUUUCAGGUGCGAGUAGUUAACAGCUGUGCAGGUUCGAGUCCUGUUCUGGGCA